UGGGGAAUCUUAGACAAUGGGGGAAACCCUGAUCUAGCCAUGCCGCGUGAGCGAUGAAGGCCUUAGGGUUGUAAAGCUCUUUCAGCUGGGAAGAUAAUGACGGUACCAGCAGAAGAAGCCCCGGCUAACUCCGUGCCAGCAGCCGCGGUAAUACGGAGGGGGCUAGCGUUGUUCGGAAUUACUGGGCGUAAAGCGCACGUAGGCGGAUUAGUCAGUCAGAGGUGAAAUCCCAGGGCUCAACCCUGGAACUGCCUUUGAUACUGCUAGUCUUGAGGUCGAGAGAGGUGAGUGGAAUUUCCCGAGUGUAGAGGUGAAAUUCGUAGAUAUUCGGAGGAACACCAGUGGCGAAGGCGGCUCACUGGCUCGAUACUGACGCUGAGGUGCGAAAGCGCGGGGAGCAAACAGGAUUAGAUACCCUGGUAGUCCACGCCGUAAACGUGAAUGCCAGUCGUCGGGUUGCAUGCAAUUCGGUGACACACCUAACGGAUUAAGCAUUCCGCCUGGGGAGUACGUCGCAAGAUUAAAACUCAAAUGAAUUGACGGGGGUCAUAGCUGUUUCCUG
RNAcentral lists this ribosomal RNA (562 nucleotides) under uncultured bacterium. RNAcentral describes it as "partial 16S ribosomal RNA". It matches the Rfam family "Bacterial small subunit ribosomal RNA", at positions 355 to 941 of the family's 1533-position model. The record is from RNAcentral.